Molecule: non-coding RNA, 395 nt
Organism: Xyrichtys novacula (pearly razorfish)
Lineage: Eukaryota; Metazoa; Chordata; Actinopteri; Labriformes; Labridae
Source: the annotation of a GenBank genome assembly
AUCAGUUGUUAAAGCCACCGUUUCUUUUACAGAUGAUUACAUUUUUGUCUCUUGCUCUUUGGUUUCAGACAUUACACGAUGAUCUGCUCUCUGGAAACAUCCGCUCCAACAGGAUGUUUCUUUGGAGGAAACCCGCCACCUCACUCCGGCUCAAGCAGCAUCUGAAGAUAAGGACGCUAUGUAAGAGUGAGCAGUGCGUAAGUAAAAAUGCCAUCCAUCAUGAGUAUUUUUACUCUCAGAGGUGUUACAUUUGAAAGCUGUUUACUUUCUAUGUUUUUCUUCAAUAGAUCUUCGAGCUCCUGCGGUUAAUUGAGGAGGCAACGACCAUAUCUGACAACAUCAAGAGAGGCGAGAUUCACUUGCUAGAUUUUGUCUUUGAUGUCAUGCUCCCAGAG